UGUAAGCUGGCUGUAAUGCGCCACGUAUC
This 29-nucleotide non-coding RNA is filed under the name Bombyx mori (domestic silkworm). The record is from RNAcentral. Lineage: Eukaryota; Metazoa; Arthropoda; Insecta; Lepidoptera; Bombycidae.